Molecule: small nuclear RNA, 103 nt
Organism: Suricata suricatta (meerkat)
Lineage: Eukaryota; Metazoa; Chordata; Mammalia; Carnivora; Herpestidae
Source: Ensembl
UCGCUUCAGUAGCACAUAUACUAAGGUUGGAACAACACAGAGAAGAUUAUUGUGGCCCCUGAGCAAGGAUGAUACACAAAUGCAUGAAGUGUCCCAUAUUCUU